CCUACGGGAGGCAGCAGUGAGGAAUAUUGGUCAAUGGACGAGAGUCUGAACCAGCCAAGUAGCGUGAAGGAUGACUGCCCUAUGGGUUGUAAACUUCUUUUAUAAAGGAAUAAAACGAGGCACGUGUGCCUUUUUGCAUGUACUUUAUGCAUAAGGAUCGGCUAACUCAGUGCCAGCAGCCGCGGUAAUCCGGAGGGUCCGAGUGUUAUCCGGAUUUAUUGGGUUUAAAGGGAGAGUAGAUGGGUUGUUAAGUCAGUUGUGAAAGUUUUCGGCUCAACCGUAAAAUUGCAAUUGAUACUGGCAGUCGUGAGUACUGUUGAGGUAGGCGGAAUUCGGGGUGUAGCGGUGAAAUGCUUAGAGAUCUCGAAGAAACCCGAUUGCGAAGGCAGCUUACUAAACUGUGAAUGACAUUGAUGCUCGAAAGUGUGGGGAGCAAACAGGAUUAGAUACCCGGGUAGUC
RNAcentral lists this ribosomal RNA (460 nucleotides) under uncultured bacterium. Its description in RNAcentral is "partial 16S ribosomal RNA". It matches the Rfam family "Bacterial small subunit ribosomal RNA", at positions 338 to 795 of the family's 1533-position model. The record is from RNAcentral.